RNAcentral lists this ribosomal RNA (201 nucleotides) under uncultured bacterium. Its description in RNAcentral is "partial 16S ribosomal RNA". It matches the Rfam family "Bacterial small subunit ribosomal RNA", at positions 328 to 539 of the family's 1533-position model. The record is from RNAcentral.
ACGCUCGACACCUACGGGGGGCAGCAGUGGGGAAUAUUGGGCAAUGGGCGCAAGCCUGACCCAGCAACGCCGCGUGAAGGAAGAAGGCUUUCGGGUUGUAAACUUCUUUUGUCAGGGACGAAGCAAGUGACGGUACCUGACGAAUAAGCUCCGGCUAACUACGUGCCAGCAGCCGCGGUAAUCUGAGCGGGCUGGCAAGGC